UCCUGGAGGCACACUAAUUUUUCAGUGCCAAAAAGUGAAGAAAGAAGGAUGUUUUCGUCAAUCAGAAAGCACUGGGGGCUUGUAGAUGGCUUUCCAAGGAUUCGCUGUAGAAGGGCUCUGAGAGAGAUUACCAGCUGUGGGUCAGCUCUGGAAAGGAUGAGGCCCCAUACCCACUCAUUGGUCACCUGGAAAUCCUACACGACCAAAUGUUUUCUGUGAAGUGUAUAUUCCCAGUGUGGGAACACAGGGAGUCACCAGUUACAUAGCUGAGGACAACCUCCCUGCAGCCACUUCAUGGUAUUUUCUUUGUUUUUCAUCUUUGAUGAAAUCUUUGUAAAAAUCGAUGGCAAUAA
Molecule: long non-coding RNA, 353 nt
Organism: Eptesicus fuscus (big brown bat)
Lineage: Eukaryota; Metazoa; Chordata; Mammalia; Chiroptera; Vespertilionidae
Exons: 3
Source: RefSeq, a predicted model, not a curated record